RNAcentral lists this ribosomal RNA (252 nucleotides) under uncultured bacterium. Its description in RNAcentral is "partial 16S ribosomal RNA". It matches the Rfam family "Bacterial small subunit ribosomal RNA", at positions 525 to 776 of the family's 1533-position model. The record is from RNAcentral.
ACGUACCGGACGAACGUUAUUCGGAAUCACUGGGCUUAAAGAGUCCGUAGGCGGCUCGGUAGGUGAGGUGUGAAAUCCCACGGCUCAACCGUGGAACUGCGCUUCAAACCACCGGGCUUGAGGGAGAUAGAGGUGAGCGGAACUGAUGGUGGAGCGGUGAAAUGCGUUGAUAUCAUCAGGAACACCGGUGGCGAAAGCGGCUCACUGGGUCUCUUCUGACGCUGAGGGACGAAAGCUAGGGGAGCGAACGGG